This 253-nucleotide ribosomal RNA is filed under the name uncultured bacterium. Its description in RNAcentral is "partial 16S ribosomal RNA". It matches the Rfam family "Bacterial small subunit ribosomal RNA", at positions 524 to 776 of the family's 1533-position model. The record is from RNAcentral.
UACGAAGGGGGCUAGCGUUGCUCGGAAUCACUGGGCGUAAAGGGUGCGUAGGCGGGUCUUUAAGUCAGGGGUGAAAUCCUGGAGCUCAACUCCAGAACUGCCUUUGAUACUGAAGAUCUUGAGUUCGGGAGAGGUGAGUGGAACUGCGAGUGUAGAGGUGAAAUUCGUAGAUAUCGGGAGGAACACCAGUGGCGAAGGCGGCGACCUGGACGGACAUUGACGCUGAGACGCGAAAGCGUGGGGAGCAAACAGG